Molecule: long non-coding RNA, 463 nt
Filed under: Homo sapiens (human)
Lineage: Eukaryota; Metazoa; Chordata; Mammalia; Primates; Hominidae
Description: HSALNT0253054
Source: RNAcentral
GCUGCCAACGAGGGGAGGAUCUCGCCGGGCAAAUCCCAACGGUCUCACCUGGCUCCGUGGCGAGCUCCCAUGGGGGAAACAAAAAUAUCAACAAAACAGGACAACAUGCCAAAAACAAGCUGGCUUGGGCUCCAGUCUCUGGAGGGUGCUUUCAUCUCUCUUCUCCGCCAGCUCUGUGGUCCCAAGGAUGCUCCUCUAGGUAACACUGCCAGCCUCGCCUCCCUGCCUGUAACUCCACCGGCUUCCUGCCUCCUUUUCCUCAUGGAGGGCUCCCACCGGGGUGCCACAGCCUUGGGUGCGGGGCGGGGGUGGUGAGGAAACGCUGAGCGUGACAAAUACUUGAUCCUUUGCUGAGGAGAUUGGGUUUCCUUCCCUGAGUGAUGGGUAGCCAUUGAAAAUUUGUUUUGUUUUGUUUUGUUUUGAGACGGAGUCUCGCUCUGUCGCCCAGGCUGGAGUGCAGUGG